GAUUACUAUUUGUUCAUGAACGUUUUUGUGCAGUCAAUAUUAUGUAAUAUCAAUGUGCCCACUCUUAAAUUUAAUAUAUGAAGAUUUUCGUCUAUUCGUCACACAAUUCUAAUACAUCAGCUGUCCUUAAACAUCUCGUUAUUUUUAAUUACUCCACGUAUAAUUUAUAACGAUCGAGUCAGUAAUAAUUAAGUAAUAAACAAGUAAGUAAUGAAAUAGACAGAGUUUCCUCGUCGAUAUAACGUCAACUAUUUUUUAGCAUGUGCGCCACAUUUUUGCGGAGCAGAAAAAGCAGAUCAUUGAUGACUAAUUUAGAAUUGUUUAUGGCAUUGGACGCAAGUAAUGUGAUGCUUUUCGGUAUAUUGAAUUGUAGAGAAACUAUCGAGUGCAUUAAAUAUCGUUUGGCCAGAGAAAACGAAUCUGAUAACUAUAUCGAUAACUAUGGGCCAGGCUUUUACGACUUCUGACAAGCAGUGUGUGAUUCAUGCACAUGCAGGCUUUUCAUUAGCAGUUAAACAAUAAAACACAUACAGUGAUGACCCUCCCUGGAAUAAACGGGUGGAAUGGUUUUUUUUUAUGGUCCCCUUCCAACAGUUUUACCGUUUAACGUUGAGUAAUUGGAGAUCUAAAAUUACGAGGUUUCGUAUAUCGUUACUCUGUCAUUUCGAUUGUGCACACACAUAAAAUUCCCGAAUGUAAUAUUUGUUCUAUGAUCUGUUGAAUUGGUUACUUCCAAUCAGCCUGCAGAAGACAGUUGUUUUUUCGCCUUGCGUCAUUUCGUAGUUUUCACUUGACCGCGCCAUUUUCAGAACAUCGGUAAAUCAGUGAAUGUUGUUCAUACAAGAGGUGUGUUAAAUAAUCGUCUUUACGUUGAAUUAAACGAUUAUGUCUAUUUUACAUAAAAUAACUAUGUUGUUCAUAUGCAAAGUUUUAACAAUGCAGUAUCACAAGCGGCAGUUUCGGUUUCAUUUGAAUGUUUUUCAAUCGGUAGUGUUUUUCCGUAUUAAAAAUGUCCGUGAUAUAAGAAGUAAGGAACAUAGCAUUUUCUAAAACUAUUCAUUGCUGUAUAAUCUUUCUAUACCAAGUUUUUUUAAGCAUAUUGUGCCGUGGUGAAACUUUACACGAACAUUUAUCUGCUCGCCGUAAACUUUUUUUUUUUUUUUUUUACAAAGGGUAUACAAGUAGCAGGAUUUUAAGCAGUUUACAGUUGGGUUCAACACAAAUAGAUUAAGAUUUAAGGUUAGCAGUGCAUUUGUAUGGAUUGUUUUUGUUCGGAUGUGUGAGUAUUUCAGUAAUUAGAAAUAAUUAUGUUACAAUUGCAAUAAAUAUAAAAACUAUUUAUUUUGUUUAUUUAAAUUAUGGAAGUGAGUCAAAAACCUUGAAAUGUAAUAUGUUGUCAUUGCAUUUUGUAUUUUAUUAAUGGUAAAUGUUCAAAAGUUAAAUCUUUGUUUUACUAUUAUCAUUUUUACCUAAUAAAUCUAUUAUGCAUUUACUUAGAUAUAUUUUCUUUUGCAGGCACUGGUUCUUUGAAUCUCCAUCUACUAAAUCAAAUUGAAAGACAGGGCAACCUCUUAGGAUUUGUAAAUACAUAGGCUGCAAAAACAUGGUUUAUAGCAUUCAGAAAUUGAAUUUUGUAAUAUUAAUACUAAGUGAAGCUCAUUUUGAGAUCCAGAAGAAACCAUUAAAUGUAUAAAUAAGAGUAACAUGCCUAAAGCACAGUUGCAAAUAGUGGUUGUAGGUGAUUUUUUUCCUAAGAGUUGCUGGUGGCAAUGUUUAACCAAUUUGAAAACAUCACUUCUUAAUAACGGCCUAAAUUACCUUGUUUUCUUGUUUUUGUGAUUUUGAGCUUUGCAAUCCACUGGGGACAUCAAGAAAGAAGCACAAAUUGUGUAGUGUUUACUGGAUCCUCAGUAACUUACCAUCAGGGUCUCAUUCAGCUCUUUCUUCAAUUUAUUUGACAGUUUUGUGCAAAAGUGAUGAUGUCAAGGUAUAUGGCUAUGGUAAAAUAUUAGAGCCACUUAUGCAAGACCUUUUAACUUUAGAAGAGCAAGGUGUGUUUAUAUCAAAGCUUGGAAGGUGCAUAAAAGGAGCAGUUCAUAGCGUUAUAGCUGAUAAUUUGGGAGCCCAUGGAUUGGCUGGUUUUGUUGAGAGCUUUUCUGGGCCAUAUAUUUGCAGAUUUUGUACUGCUCAAAAAGUAGAUAUUCAAUUAAAGGAUGUUCAUUCAGGGGAUUUUGUGCUUCGAACCAAAGAAAUACAUGAAUUGCAUGUGAAGUCUGCCCAGGAAACAAAAACAAAUUGCUUUGGAGUGAAGAGAGCAUGCCCUUUAACUGAAAAUCUUCAUUAUUUUCAUGUUAGUACAGGCUAUCCCCCAGAUAUAGUGCAUGAUUUAUUUGAAGGCAUUGUCCCAUUUGAAGUGGCUCUUUGUUUGAACAUUUUGAUCUCAAAGAAGUAUUUUACUCUUGAAUGUCUUAACACACACAUCCUCAAAUUUCCUUACAAGUGGAGUGACAAAAAAAAUUGAUCUCACAUCAUACCACACAGCUAUUUAUGGAAGAAGACAAUAGGUGGCACCGCCCAUGAGAAUUGGAACUUAAUACGUUUUCUUCCAUUUCUAGUGGGAGACAUUAUAAAUGAGGAUGAGCUCGCUUGGCUAGUCUUAUUAGAUCUAAAGGAAAUUGUAGAAUUAGUAGUGGCACCUGUUCAUACUGAUGAAACAAUUGCCUACCUUGAAGUUAGUGUGUGAGCACAGACAGAGGCUACUUGAGCUUAACCCCGAUGGAAAGCUUUUACCCAAACACCACUAUCUUGAGCAUUACCCAUAUUUGAUUAGAUGCUUUGGGCCUCUUGUAGGUGUAUGGACUAUGAGAUUCAAAGCUAAACAUAGCUUCUUUAAACAAGUUGCCCGACACACAAAUAAUUUCCGGAAUAUUCCACACUCACUGGCAGUCAGACACCAGCAACUGAUCGGUUACCACAUAUAUUCAUCCAGUCUUAAUCCAAUACAUUUGGAAGUUAAGGAAGUUUCAGCUGUACAGGUUGAUGUUCUGAAUAAGGAAAUUGUAUUGGCUCUCAGGCAGAAAUAUCCACACAUCAAUCAAGUUCAUCUAGCAAAAAAUGUCACCACUAGAGGAAUUAAUUACAGAACUGGAAUGGUAGUUGCAUAUGGUUCAACUGCUGGAAUGCCAGAAUUUGCAGAGAUAAUACAAAUGUGCAUAAUCGGGGAUGCUUUGAGUUUUAUUGUGCGUUUAUUUUGCGCUUGGUAUAGAGAUCAUUUUAGAGCUUUUGAGUUGACGUUGUCACCAGGUAAAGAGGUUGCCCUGGCUCAGCUUGAGGAGCUGACCGAUUGCUAUCCACUUGUGGCCUACACAGUUGGAACUAAGUGUAUGGUAACUCUGAAGAGAAACAUUGUCAUCAAAGAUUGAAAAAAACAAGAUGCCAGUACCAGUUAACUUCAGAGUCCUUUUUGAAGGUGAAGACGAUGCAAGAAAGCUAACAAUUGAAUCUGGGAUGCCAGCAUCUGUGGAAAAAUUGGCUUGUGAAAUUAAGACUGUUUUUGGAGUAACUGAAGAUUUCAGAAUUCAGUACAAAGACAUAGAUUUUGGAAAUGAAUUUAUGAACCUCUUAUCCAUUUCGGACAUUCAAGAUAGAAGUACUUUAAAAGUUGUAUACUUGCCUUCUGACACUUUCAUUUAAUCCCAGAUCCUGUUAAUGCAGAUACUUGCACCACAAUUCCAGUAACACCCCCUUGUCCCUCCACCAGCUCUUCACAGGGACCAAAUGAUUCAACAUCCAUCGACUUGCUUAGCAGCAGUGAUGCUGUUAUGUUGACAUCAUGUCCCGAGUCCCGUUCCUGCUCUUGGCCUCAAACCUUUGUCAUACCAUGCUUUUCAUAUUGUGCAGAGAUGCAGCUCCAGAAGGGAAAUGUUGAAUUCAAUGGGAAUGGAACUCUACUAUCUCUUACUACAAAGGUUAGAUCAGAUAUUCUCGAAGGCCUUGCAGAAGAAAUAAUUAAGUACACGGCAUAUCCAAAGGAUGAUCAAAUUGAAGAAGUUGCUAAGGCCUUGAUAAAGACACACCCAUGCUUGUAUGAAAAAGGAACUAGCACUGGGUAUUAUGGCUGGAAGCACUGUAUAAAGAUCAAGAUGAUGAACUUCCGCACAAAGCUUGGUCGAGUUGGACACCCAGAAGUUGUUAUCAACUCCUUUAAGAACAAAAGAAAAGGCCAGGGUAAACCAGCUGCAAAUAUAAAGAAGCCUCAGAAAGCAGAGGUUAAUUUCUGUCCCAGCCAUCCAAGAGGUGAAACCACAGACAGCCUAGAGAUGGAAAGGGUUGCACUUUUGACAGAGGUAAAAAAAAAAGAAAUAAUGAGGAAAAGAUGCACAGAACUUUCUCCUAUAGAAGACAAGAAGUUCUUCAGGAGCCAAUGGUUUCAGCAUUUCGAAACAGUUGACCUGCUCUGUUUGAAGUUGGUGAAUUGGAUAAAUAUACUAACAGCCUGUUAAAGGUUUUUCAUGCCAAAGGAGAAUCUGCAGGACAGAAAAUCCACUCAAUAAUGGCAUUGACAGCUAUAAAUGAAGAUAUAAAUCUCAAACGUGACUGUAUCUUGAAGAGUGUCUACCUCAAUGAAGACAUGGAUACAAUUGUCAAAGAAUACAUGGACUGUGAAUGUGCAGAGGCUGUGUCAGGAAUUGCAGGAACAACAAUGGGCAUCUACAUCAUUCGUGGAGAGGGUGCUGGUCAUGGAGAAAAAGCAACAAAUGUUGGCAUAGUUCUUGAAGGUGUGGAUGUACUGCAAAACCUUCAUAGUGUCACCUUGGGAAGUAUGAUGCUUUUUGGACUGAUUUAUUCAUUAAACCUAAACUAUCCCAAAGACCUGAAGUGCACAUUUGAAGUGUAUCAAAAAAUUUUCAUGGAGCUGGAACCAACCAAGCUUUCACCAAAGGUUCAAGCAUUGAAAAUGAAAUUGAUUCAGUUCUUGGACACAUAACUAAACAUUGUCUAGGUAGAAUUUACCCAUGUUACUUUCCUGUACUAUCCUGUAAAAGUGUGAUGAUACAAUGUCAUUAAUGUUAAUGCAAUGUUUAUGUUCUAUGUUUUUUGAUUGUGGUGUUCUGAAAAAAAAUGGAUAUCAGGAUGUCUUUAAUGUAGAUAUGCUGCAUUAGAGUUCCAUUCUUUGUUUAUUAGGUUUAUCUACCUCCAGUUUAACAAAAUAAAUAACAGUAUUUUAUUGAUAUUUGACUUAUCAUUGCUUAGUUCUGUUUCUUUAUUUUUUUGUCAUAGAAAAAGGGAGAAACGUGUCAUGGUUUUUGUCACGGCUGCUCAUUUACACAGAAUUUUUCCAUAAUCAGACUGAACAGUGUUUAACAGUGUUACUAAGUCUGUUUUUUAAUGUAGUUUUACAUGCAUUUCGGUAUCAAUAAAUUGUUAAAAUGUGAAA
This is a long non-coding RNA of Paramormyrops kingsleyae, 5437 nucleotides long. RefSeq lists it as uncharacterized. Lineage: Eukaryota; Metazoa; Chordata; Actinopteri; Osteoglossiformes; Mormyridae. The record is from RefSeq and is a predicted model, not a curated record.